Tachysurus fulvidraco (yellow catfish) is the source of this 3796-nucleotide long non-coding RNA. RefSeq lists it as uncharacterized. Lineage: Eukaryota; Metazoa; Chordata; Actinopteri; Siluriformes; Bagridae. The record is from RefSeq and is a predicted model, not a curated record. The transcript is spliced from 3 exons.
GAGUUGGAGCGGAGAUCCUCUCGGACCACAUCUCCAGGGCGCUGAACACCUUCUGACUGGUGCUUCCUGGGCAUCAAUCCUGAAAGGAGCUCAAAGACCAAGAAGCGGACAACAAUGAACCCUCAUGUAUGCUCUGGUCAGUAGGCUUGUCAGAAGCAACUGCAGGUAAAUCGUCAUUUAACUCUAUAUCGUCAACAGGUAAAUAACUCAAGGUAGGUACACUAUCAAUUGUAGAAUGUUCUGGCCCAGAUAAAUGGACAGACAAGUUGCCAAUUGGAGAGUUAUCAGAGUCCUGAACUACAGAUAUUGAGGGAACAUCAUUUUGUGACCCUUUCUCAGCUUCAUAAACUUCAACAAACCUAGUAUUUGUACUUAGAGGAUCUCGGUACAACAGUUCUAAUCAGCUAUCAUCAUCAUCAGAGUCAGGAUUUGACUCAUCUUGUACCUCAUUACUCGGAUUUCUACGAGUUGGAGGACGUUUCCGGGACCUGGAAAAAUCAACUACAUCUUCAGGUAACUGCAACAAUUCACAAGAGUUCUCAAAGGACCAUCUUUACCUUCUGGCUUUACAGUGUACACCGGAAGAUUUCCUGCCCUGCUCACAACAACAUACACAAGUGAUUCCCACCUGUCAGCCAAUUUGUGUUUACCUCUCAGUCGUAUAUUCCUAACUAAGACCCUGUCUCCAAUUUCUAGCGUAGAUUCAACUACAUGCUGGUCAAAACGAGCUUUAUUCCUCUCUCCAACUUUAGCAGCAUUUCUCAUUGCUAAGUCAUAAGUUCCCUGUAACCUAGACUUCAAAUCAUGCACAUACUGUGAAUGUGUCUUAAACUGCUCUUUGUUCUGAGGAAUAUCAAAAGCCGAGUCUAUAGGCAACCGCGGCUGCCUGCCAAACAUUAAUUCAUAUGGGGUAAACCCAGGAGAAUCAUGUUUGGUACAGUUAUACACAUGUACGAGGGGUUUCACAAAACUACUCCGAUGCACCUUAUCAAUCUCUUUAAGCGUACCAAGCAUACUGAGGAGAGUACGAUUAAAUCGUUCAACCGGAUUUCCCCUAGGGUGAUAAGGAAAUUCUCCCAAAGAACUUUAGCCACAGUAAGUGACCUCUGAUUAGGAGUAGGAACAGCAACAGCAUACUUGGUAAAGAAAUCAGUGAUAACUAGCACAUCCUUGGUAUUUUUGGAAUCUGGCUCAAUAGAUAGAUAGUCCAUGCACACCAGUUCAAGAGGACGAGUCACUUGGAUAUUCACCAAAGGAGCAGUUUUCUCAGGUAAGGACUUAUGACACACACAUCUGGGACAUGUUCUGAUUUUUCUCUCCACAUCCGCAACCAUUCUAGGCCAAUAGAACCUUGACCUUGCAAGAUCCACGGUGCGCUCUAUCCCCAAAUGUCCCAUUUCAUCAUGUAGACACAUCAGAACCAUAUUACGUAACGAUUCAGGAAGAACCAACUGGUAUUGGAUAUUCUCUCCCUCCUGUCUUUUGCGCUAGAGGAUUCCAUUACGCAACUCCAGCUUCUUUAACUCCCUCAACAGCAAUGGGAGGGUAGGAAGUUCUUUUCUUACAAGAGGUGGAAUUGCCUCCCCAGUCUCUAACUGGUGAAUUAUCUCACGGAUGAUGGGGUCAGAUCUUUGCUUUUCCAUCAAAUCAUUCUCCCCAAAAGAUGGGACUUCAGGAAAAUUGUCACAACCAUCAUCCUGAUCAAAACUGGAUGGAAUUGCAUCAACAUGCAUGGCAAGGGAUUCAACUAAAGAAAAAGGAGGAUCACCACAAUCAGCUAAGUUGUGAUGGACAACGUGCUUAUCACAUAUGGCCUGAAUAACCUCUGAAGGAAGAGUGAAAACAUCAUCACGCACGUGAUUCAAAUUGAAUUGACGGAUUCGCUCUAGCUCCUUUUGAGAUGUGACAUCGUUCCUCCAUCCACCUUGAGGAAGUCUGGACAGACUGUCAGCAUCCAGAUUCUGUUUUCCAGCUCUGUACAGUAGUUUGAAAGAAAAAGUUGAAAGAGCUGAGAUCCAUCUAUAGCUCGUAGAAUCCAGCUUUGCUGAGGUCAAUAUGUAUGUCAAAGGAUUACUGUCAGUGACAACAGUGAACUGGUUACCAUACAGAUAAUCGCUAAACUUCUCAGUGACUGCCCACUUAAACAUGGAUUAUUACAAUAAAGCUUCUCACUGAAAUAGACAGAAUCUGUAAAUCCUUCCUGAUGAAUUACAUGUCGCUCUGAAUCCCUUCACCAUACAGGAUGUUAAAAUAAUUUGCUUGACGUAGACAGAGUUUAAGACACAAAAUAUAUUUUAUAAUAUACAACUGAGCAGAAUAGUUUGUAACUGUUUCUAAAUUGUGUAGAGUUCAAACUGAAAGGUGUUAAAGACGUUUGUACUUCACAUAUUAAAAGCUGUUUUUCACACUGUGUCUUCCUGCAUCUCAGUCAACAGGAAAUAAUGACCACUGGAGGGUCUCAUGCUGGUCUUUGUCCUUGUUUGCUCUCAUUUUUAAUACGACUCGUAGUGAAAAAUGGAAGUAAUGAACUUAUGGGGAAAUGAAAUUGAUGAGGUUUGUAGUUUGAGCCUUUAAAAUCCCCAGUCUGCUGUAUAUCCUCUUUAUGCUUCCUUUGUCAGAGCUAUAAAUAAUGUCAGAUCAUUAGAAGUCAUGCCUUUGCAGUGUUUUAACCGGGUUUUUGUGUAUGGGAAGAGAAACUUUGUUUAUUCCUACAACAGAGCGGACAGGAGCACAGACUCUGGGAAAGAGCAGAAGAGGAGGAUUGUGUACAGCCAUGGACAUAGUAGAUGAACAUUGCACACUGGACAUUGACUGUUUAAGGUUUAGGUGCAGGAUGUUUGUUUCUUCUGCCAGAUUGACAACAGUGUGAUACACAGACCUCUGUGAGCUAAAGCUAAUCCAACAGCCAGUAAACAGGACACGAGAAUUUAAGACACUGGACCAAACAAAGUCAACACAAACUCUGACUGUUUCCUAAAAACUGAUCCCGGUGGAGAUGCUGUUGGUCUGUAGGACCUGUAGAUUCUACCUCAAUGCUGCAAGAUUGUCUGCUACACUGACUGGGAUCAGUUUCACAUGGAAAUUUGAGACACAAUGACCUCUACUCAUUGAAUUACUGUCAUUUUUCUAAGCAUAAGUCACAUCUAAACAACAGCAUGCAGAAACUGCUUAUGGAAGGAGAGGAAACUUAAAUAAAUGCAAACACAAUAUAAGGACUUUAGAACAGCUCAUGUGGAACAGAAUUAAGGCACCGAAUGACCACAAGAACAACCAGCGCUCUGUAACCUAGUAACAUCUUUACAGAAACAAUAACAGAAACAACCCGAGGCUUUAACUCCAAUUUAUUUCAGGUAGUUGAAUUUAUUAAAUGUUGGAAACAUUGAAAUUAUCAAUGUAUUUUUUUUAAUAUAUUGUAUUUACAUAUAAUGUAUUAUGAGGAUUGCUUUUUUACAGUUUGGUUUAUUUAUUUAAAAAUAUAUGCACAUAAAAUUCACAACAAUAUGCAGAUAAACACAGACUAAUAAUAUAAAAAUAAUUAUAUUCAGAAAAUGUAACAAUAUUAAAUGUUUAAAAAAAUAACUUUACACAUUACAAUGCAAAAGCUAUUAAAAUUUAACUUACAGCAAAGUCUCUACUGUCUGGUGCUUUAAAUUAGAAAUAUAAUUUCUCUAUUAUAUUUUAACAUGAGCGUAAACGUCUUCAUGGGUAUUUUUGGCUCUGGAUGUUCUGGAGGAUGAAGGUUUUUUAGCAAAACUAACAGCUGCAUAGUUCAAGACAUCAUCAUCAGCAUCAUCAG